AGCUCAGUUGGUAGAGCAUCUGACUUUUAAUCAGAGGGUCAGAGGUUCGAAUCCUCUAUGGC
This 62-nucleotide transfer RNA is filed under the name Staphylococcus aureus. Its description in RNAcentral is "tRNA-Lys". It matches the Rfam family "tRNA", at positions 9 to 63 of the family's 71-position model. From Rfam's summary of the family: Transfer RNA (tRNA) molecules are approximately 80 nucleotides in length. Their secondary structure includes four short double-helical elements and three loops (D, anti-codon, and T loops). Lineage: Bacteria; Bacillati; Bacillota; Bacilli; Caryophanales; Staphylococcaceae. RNAcentral also lists the same sequence under 2 other names. The record is from RNAcentral.